GCCCAGGUGGUGAAAUUGGUAGACACAUCAGAUUUAGGUUCUGGUACUGAAAGGUGUGCAGGUUCGAGUCCUGUCCUGGGCA
Molecule: transfer RNA, 82 nt
Filed under: Chlamydiia bacterium
Lineage: Bacteria; Pseudomonadati; Chlamydiota; Chlamydiia
Description: tRNA-Leu
Rfam family: tRNA
About the family: Transfer RNA (tRNA) molecules are approximately 80 nucleotides in length. Their secondary structure includes four short double-helical elements and three loops (D, anti-codon, and T loops). Further hydrogen bonds mediate the characteristic L-shaped molecular structure. tRNAs have two regions of fundamental functional importance: the anti-codon, which is responsible for specific mRNA codon recognition, and the 3' end, to which the tRNAs corresponding amino acid is attached (by aminoacyl-tRNA synthetases). tRNAs cope with the degeneracy of the genetic code in two manners: having more than one tRNA (with a specific anti-codon) for a particular amino acid; and 'wobble' base-pairing, i.e. permitting non-standard base-pairing at the 3rd anti-codon position.
Source: RNAcentral